UUUUGUGUUCAGUAGCCUUGCUGAACACAAUUAAUUCUAAUAAUGUAUUUCUAGUUUCUUUCGCAUUUUUCUGUUAUCUAUGAGUAGUAGAAGUUUUGUUUCUUAUCAAUUUUUAUAUCUUUAUUUUUCUUGUCUUACUGUGCUUAUUAGGAUUUGUUGUGCAGUGUUGAAUGGAGUGAUAGUAGAGGACUUCCUGCCCAUAUUUCUUAUUUCAAGGGAGACAUUCUCAGUGUUUCAUCAGUUUGUCCCUGAAACGUGUGUGUAAAGUGAAAGGUGGUAACCCUCGGUCAUCCCAUGGAGUUAGGAGCUGCACACUGCGCUGGUCGCUGGCCACACAGCUACACGCCAAGAGGCUUCUACACAGAAAGAGCUGAGGCUCUAGUGCAUGAGACGGAUGCCAACAGUGUGAUGUGGAUGGUGGGGCAAGGCCGGAGGAGCACGAGCGCCACUCACCAGGAAGAUCAGGUCUGCGCAGGGGCCCUGAGAACAUCUCAGACAAGUUCCCGGUGUUGCUGCUGCUGCCAGGCUGGGACCCACACCUUGAGAAGCACUGCCUGGAGGGACCACCCAUGGGUGAAGGACAGAGCCGUGCCGAGCCAAGCCAGCCCGCCUCCUGCUCCCAGCUCCACAUCCAAGAUGCAGACCAAAUGACGCGCUGCUCCUUCUUCAGCUGAGUGCUCCUGAGUGUGACCCAUUGAAACAAAAGGAGAACCGCGCAGCAGAAAGACGUCGGCAGGCUCUCCCCAAUGUCCCCAGCACCCGUGGACACUGAAGGUUCGUUAGUCCUGCAGUAAAGGAACCUUGACAGUCGUUUAAGGUAGGCUUCCUGAACUGACAUGACCAUGUAAUUCAAGCUGCUAGUGAUAUCCUUCUGGAUCUUUCUUUGAGGAAAGCAGCAUAGAACAUGCCUCUUGUACAGCUUUGUUUUGCAAUGUUUAUUUGAAAAGCCCUUUGUCAGAAUGUGGAGGUGAGAGCUGCUUGCUUCAUCUCUGAAAGGCCCGUGGUGGCCCUGGCAGUCUCGUCCUCCCCACUGGCCCGGGCAUCCCCAUGCCUCCUGCCAACACAGAGCCGCGCACAGAGAACAGGCACACGAGGGGAGCAACAUGUUCUUUUAUUGAUGCAAGUACAUCCAGUCACACCAACAGCUGACAUCCUUUAUUAUUAUAAAGUACAGCUUUAUACUCAGAGUUCAUCUCGAAAUACCAAAACAUCAUAGGGUAUGUAUCAAAUUGGGAAAAUAAAGUAGCAAAUGUAGCACUGUGUCAGGUCGGUACUAGAACUGAUGACCAAGUGAAGCGCACACUGAUGUGAAAGCUCCUUAACACAUGGACAGAAAAGGUUCUAACAUUGUAUUCCAAAUAUAUAUUCUCAAGUUUUAAACCUUUCUUUAUCUCAAAUACAUAAACAAAGCAAUAUGUACUGUCAAUAUACACUAUGUACUAUCUAGAACGUCUGAAAAGUGCAAAAACACUGUGACAAUACAGUGUAAACAUCCUUGCUCCACCCUGGGCUGAGGGCAACGGCAGCAGCGGAUCGUGGCGCCACCUCCCCCUGAGGCCUCGCCUUCACAUCUCCAGGCUCUCCUAGGAGUUUUGGGAAUUAGCAACUAACUGUCCUUGCCCAGGCCUGCCAGCUGGAGGCUCCGGUGGAAGCCAGCCACGUGGAGAGAAACAGGGUGAGUAGUUCCAAAUCUGCUUGGAUGGAAUGACAGCCCCGCCAUGAGGGAGACAGAGUCAGCAUGGAUUGCCCGUUUCUGGCCCUGGAGGGAGCAGGGCUGUCACUGUCCCAUGGCCGGGAAGUCAGAAAAUGGAGAGUACUCCUCGAGUUCGGGUGUGGAAGAUACCUCCAAAUGCUGGGCGGCUUUAUGUGAGUGGGCUCCAGCAGGUACUGGCCUGGCUAACCUUCCAUGUCUCACAUUCCACUAGGGGGAGCCCAAUCCCCCACCCAGAGGGAAGGAGGACACUGAUUUGUAAGUAAGUUGCUUCUUUUGACUUUGUACUUGAGUUUCAAGAUGGCUUUAUACAUCCCCAUCCUUAAUUGUACUUUGUAUUCGCUUCAUUACAGCUAAGUGUGUCAAAGUUACAGCCUGGAAAACGGACAAUUCCAUGACUCCCUCCUUACGUUACUUUAGAUGAUUUUCUCUUUUCCUAAAAUGUAGGUGAAGAACAAUUUGCCAGACAUCUUCCAACAGAAAAUAUGCUGCCAGGUGUCCCCCUGCCCUCCCCCCAACCCCCAUAAAUCCCUGAUAAAGGAAAAUGAAAAUGUAAACUUUGGAAAGCCCAUAUUCAAGGUUCACUUCUGGAAGUAUGCAAAUGAGACCUCCGGGCCACCCGAGCCCUUCUUGCCAGAACCUCGUGGGCCUGCGCUUUUAGGGCAGAGCUUCCCCGGCGCCUCCAGCGGCACUGGCUGCAGGCGAGAACGGGCCCGCCAGUACCCUCUAAGGCACUCACCCCGACAUCAGAGACACUGGCUGGAAAGGAGGCAGGGCUCACGUUGGUUUUGGUUGGGUUUUUUAAAAUAUGUUUUUGUAAGAUGUUAAUAAUCAAAAGUAGAAAAUAAAAAUCUACAUUUCAUUAGAAUAAGAUGUUAUCAUGGAUGCCAUCUCCCAUGAUACUCUUUCCCCACCCCUCCCCAAAGCAGGGCCCUGCCCUGUCAUAAACAAAAAGCUUUAAGUGCCAAAGGCUGAUGCAUGAAAUAAUUACUUUUUUUUUUUCAUAAAAGUUAUGUACAAAAUAAUGGACCCCAACCAGUGAGGCCUCAUCUCAACCCAUUAUCACUCAAGAUUAAAACUCAGUACGUAGGUGUGCUUAAUCCAGCGUCUGCAGGCUGCAUCCGUGCCUUCAGGCUCUGUUAAGGAGAGUGGUCCUAAAGGUGAGCAGGGAACGAGGAAGUGGUCAGGCGGCCGGCAGGCCCUUCCCCUGAGCAAGCAGAGGGCAGGCUUGUGCUACUAGGGGAAGGCCCGGCUGCCUAGAACCGCCCAUUGAGGGAGGGGUCAGGGACGUUCAAACCCCAAGUCCUCAGCCUGCACCCGGGAUGCCUUCCUCUCCCCGGUCUGCAGAGAGGCGCCCUCGGCCGCCUUUCCAAAGGGCAGACCCAUCAUGCCUACCCCCACCCCGUCCUUUCCCUUCCUUGUAGGCUCUGGUGUGGGGCUGCUCUUGGGGGCUCACCGGAGUGCUUCUGGAGUUCUCCUACCUGAGGGUCUUCCAGCUGUCCUUUUCCAUGUGGUUCUCGGGACCUUCACUUUCGAAGGAGGCGAUGAAGAGAGCUGAGAGACGAGAAGCCCCGCCGAAGCCAUGUCCACACACGGUCAGUCUGCCUCCCACCCUGGUUAUCCCUUCUCAAACUCUCCCUCCCAGGGCGGAGCGAGGCCCGGGCAAGAACUCCUAAACCAACGGGGCAGCGACUUCGGGCCAGGGCUGGUCCACAGGCCUCUGCUGCGUGGGGUUCCUGGCAACCUGCCUGGGGACUCUGAGACGUUUCCUGGUUCUGCAGCGCUGGCCCGACCACGUACUGGCUCUCUCAAGUGGCCUCGGGAGCCUGAUCUCUUCUUGUCCUUAUCCUUCACCUGCCAUCCGCCCAUGGCCCGCUCUCAUGCACUCACCCCUGCGAGCUGAGCUUCCCCAGCGUAGCAGGGGAAUAACAACCCUGGGAGGGCACCCUGCACGAGUCAGGGUAACUUCUACAGUGUGCGGAGAUGGACCUCACCUUCCUCGCUGUAGAUGGGAGCCGUCAGCAGGUAACUCUGAAUCUUCUUGUCCUUCUCGAAGGGACACUCCACCUGUGUCCAUGUCAUGAACUCAUGGAUCUGUCUGGAGAUGUCCCAAAAUUUCUGAAGGGGCAGAGACCAACUGGAUGUUCAUUUGUCACCUUAAGCUUGAAAACCCUGGUUAGCGCAGGGGACGUAGACUCUGGCUUCGGUCAGCUGAUAUUUCCCUGGUCCCAGAGAGACUGGACGGUAGCCCUACAAAGCUGACUUCAUAGCCAUGGAAGCACUCUACAACAGAGCCAGCCGGUGUCUCCAAGGCCAUUCAGUCCUGCCCUCUGCCUGAGCCAUCGGGCUGCAGCCAGGUCUGUGCUUCCGCUGUGCAGGAACCCCAAGAAGCGCCUCAUCUGUAACUCCAGGCUGAGGCAGGCGUCCCAGCCACACCCAGCACAGCACCACCAACCAGAACACCCCAUGAUCUCACUCUGGGGCCCUGUGGCUUCUAGCCCUGUCACCAGAUCAUCCACCCAGAACUGGGGCCACCCUCACACCUUGAGGUCACCGGGCACCCAUGACCCACCCUGGAGCCUUCAGUCCUAAAAGGCCCUUCUGCCACAGGGCCACAGCCUGGCAGCUCUCAUGGCACAGACGGAUUCUGCCUGUCCUAGAGCAAGGCCAGGAAGUCUGCCCUACCCUGUGCUGGGACAGCCUGGCCCCCUCCCCUCAGACCACAAGGGGGCUGAGCUGACCUUGAAGUUAAUGUGUCCAUUGGGCAGGUGGUUGGUGUGGAUU
Molecule: long non-coding RNA, 4495 nt
Organism: Balaenoptera acutorostrata (minke whale)
Lineage: Eukaryota; Metazoa; Chordata; Mammalia; Artiodactyla; Balaenopteridae
Exons: 4
Source: RefSeq, a predicted model, not a curated record